Molecule: long non-coding RNA, 347 nt
Filed under: Arachis ipaensis
Lineage: Eukaryota; Viridiplantae; Streptophyta; Magnoliopsida; Fabales; Fabaceae
Description: long non-coding RNA (AIPA_LNC001345)
Source: RNAcentral
GAGAAUCGAUCGGUCGAAUCGAACCAUAAAUCGGCCGAUUUUUUAAAUUUGACCAAAACACAACCGUUUGGUCCUUUCUAUUUAACCAGCAAUCCGAAAUCUCCAAUUUAGUAACCUACUCCACUAACCCUUGCUCCACACAAGAUACAACUGCACAGCUCUUCCUCUCCCUCCCUCACCCUCACUCUCGAGCUCGUCCUUUCUCUCUGUGCCGGCGAGUUGUCUCCGUCACUUCCGUCCAAUUGCUGGAUUGCUCCUGCCGCCGUCGCAAUUUGGAGCCUCGAAAAUUACAAUUACGAUCGUACAGCUCUCCACCAUCGCCGUUUCAGCUCUGGAGAUAACAGUAU